Molecule: ribosomal RNA, 379 nt
Filed under: uncultured bacterium
Lineage: Bacteria
Description: bacterial SSU rRNA
Rfam family: Bacterial small subunit ribosomal RNA
Source: RNAcentral
GUAGUCCACGCCCUAAACGAUGCUGACUGGACGUUGGGUGGAAUUAGCCACUUAGUGUCGAAGCUAACGCGUGAAGUCAGCCGCCUGGGGAGUACGGUCGCAAGACUGAAACUCAAAGGAAUUGACGGGGGCCCGCACAAGCGGUGGAGUAUGUGGUUUAAUUCGAUGCAACGCGAAGAACCUUACCUGGGUUUGACAUGUCUGGAAUCCUGCAGAGAUGCGGGAGUGCCGCAAGGAACCAGAACACAGGUGCUGCAUGGCUGUCGUCAGCUCGUGUCGUGAGAUGUUGGGUUAAGUCCCGCAACGAGCGCAACCCUUGCCCCUAGUUGCCAGCACGUAAAGGUGGGAACUCUAGGGGGACUGCCGGUGACAAACCGGA